This 134-nucleotide ribosomal RNA is filed under the name uncultured Acidimicrobiaceae bacterium. RNAcentral describes it as "partial 16S ribosomal RNA". It matches the Rfam family "Bacterial small subunit ribosomal RNA", at positions 371 to 523 of the family's 1533-position model. Lineage: Bacteria; Bacillati; Actinomycetota; Acidimicrobiia; Acidimicrobiales; Acidimicrobiaceae. The record is from RNAcentral.
AUGGGCGCAGCCUGACGCAGCACGCCGCGUGAGGGAUGAAGGCCUUCGGGUUGUAAACCUCUUUCGACCGGGACGAAUAUGGACGGUCCCUGCGAAAAAACCCCGGGCCAACUACGUGCCAGCACCCCCGGAAU